UAGUAGUGCUAGGGGUGCCUUAUGGCUGAGAGAAGUUUAUAACUUUAACCCUUCGAACCUGAUGCGGGUAAAACCGACGUAGGAAAGCUGUUUAGAUAUUAG
This 102-nucleotide non-coding RNA is filed under the name Clostridiales bacterium oral taxon 876 str. F0540. RNAcentral's name for it is "TPP riboswitch aptamer (THI element)". It matches the Rfam family "TPP riboswitch aptamer (THI element)". Rfam says of the family: Vitamin B(1) in its active form thiamin pyrophosphate (TPP) is an essential coenzyme that is synthesised by coupling of pyrimidine and thiazole moieties in bacteria. Lineage: Bacteria; Bacillati; Bacillota; Clostridia; Eubacteriales. The record is from Rfam by way of RNAcentral. RNAcentral also lists the same sequence under 1 other name.